Molecule: ribosomal RNA, 440 nt
Filed under: uncultured bacterium
Lineage: Bacteria
Description: partial 16S ribosomal RNA
Rfam family: Bacterial small subunit ribosomal RNA
Source: RNAcentral
CCUACGGGAGACUGCAGUAGGGAAUCUUCCACAAUGGGGGAAACUCUGAUGCAGCAACGCCGCGUGGAGGAUGAAGGUUUUCGGCUCGUAAACUCCUGUUGUUAGAGAAGAUAAUUACGGUUUCUAACUAAUCUUCAUUGGCCAACUCUGUCUCAGCAGCCGCGGUAUUACGGAGGGCGCAAGCGUUCCUCGGAAUCACUGGGCGUAAAGUGCGCGGAGGCGGGAUAGCAAGUCAGAUGUGAAAUCCUAUGGCUUAACCAGAGAACUGCAUCUGAAACUGUUCUACUAGAGUGCGGAAGAGGAGAGUGGAAUUCUAUGUGUAGGGGUAGAAUCCGUAGAGAUAUGGAAGAAUACUCGUUGCGAAGGCGACCUGCUAGAACGUAACUGACGCUGAGGCGCGAAAGCAUGGGGAGCGAACAGGAUUAGAUACCCUGGUAGUC